RNAcentral lists this ribosomal RNA (1705 nucleotides) under Distoseptispora sp. Its description in RNAcentral is "partial small subunit ribosomal RNA". It matches the Rfam family "Eukaryotic small subunit ribosomal RNA", at positions 50 to 1139 of the family's 1831-position model. The record is from RNAcentral. Lineage: Eukaryota; Fungi; Ascomycota; Sordariomycetes; Distoseptisporaceae.
CUUGAUGCAUGUCUAGUAUAGCAAUUAUACCGCGAAACUGCGAAUGGCUCAUUAAAUCAGUUAUCGUUUAUUUGAUAGCACCUUACUACUUGGAUAACCGUGGUAAUUCUAGAGCUAAUACAUGCUGAAAAUCCCGACUUCGGAAGGGAUGUAUUUAUUAGAUUAAAAACCAAUGCCCUCCGGGGCUCACUGGUGAUUCAUGAUAACUUCUCGAAUCGCAUGGCCUUGCGCCGGCGAUGGUUCAUUCAAAUUUCUGCCCUAUCAACUUUCGACUGCUGGGUCUUGGCCAGCAAUGGUGACAACGGGUAACGGAGGGUUAGGGCUCGACCCCGGAGAAGGAGCCUGAGAAACGGCUACUACAUCCAAGGAAGGCAGCAGGCGCGCAAAUUACCCAAUCCCGACACGGGGAGGUAGUGACAAUAAAUACUGAUACAGGGCUCUUUUGGGUCUUGUAAUUGGAAUGAGUACAAUUUAAAUCCCUUAACGAGGAACAAUUGGAGGGCAAGUCUGGUGAAGAUGCUGGCGCCGGAGAUAGUAAGCCCGUUGAAUUACUAGUCGAGCAUUCGCCAUUGGCGGGAGAAUGCCGGCGAGACAACCCGGAUCGGGGGAGGUUACGGAGCUUCGGCUCUAUAUUAACCCCGGACAGAGCCGUCGUCUAUACGAUUUGGGCCUGUUUAGAGCGCGGAAGGGUGUCGGUCCCGUAUAUUCGGAUGCGUAAAAGCGUUUGAUUUCGGGGCUUAAGGGACGUGCCAACCCCCUGCGAAAGCAGGGUAUUGCCUCAAAGUGCCCGCCGCACAAUGAGGCGAUAGGUAUCUCAGCGAGAGAGCCGUACUGUAAAAAAUGGCCAGCAGCCGCGGUAAUUCCAGCUCCAAUAGCGUAUAUUAAAGUUGUUGCAGUUAAAAAGCUCGUAGUUGAACCUUGGGCCUGGCCGGCCGGUCCGCCUCACCGCGUGCACUGGUUCGGCCGGGCCUUUUCCUCUGGCGAGCCCCAUGCCCUUCACUGGGCGUGUGGGGGAACCAGGACUUUUACUUUGAAAAAAUUAGAGUGUUCAAAGCAGGCCUAUGCUCGAAUACAUUAGCAUGGAAUAAUAGAAUAGGACGUGCGGUUCUAUUUUGUUGGUUUCUAGGACCGCCGUAAUGAUUAAUAGGGACAGUCGGGGGCAUCAGUAUUCAAUUGUCAGAGGUGAAAUUCUUGGAUUUAUUGAAGACUAACUACUGCGAAAGCAUUUGCCAAGGAUGUUUUCAUUAAUCAGGAACGAAAGUUAGGGGAUCGAAGACGAUUAUCUGGUCGUCGAAAGCGCUGUAGUGACAGCUCUAGUCCGCCGUACGGCGGGCGACACCGUCAAAUUGCGGGGACAUCCUAAAGGCCUGUGCUACACCUAUUCGCUAGAAAUAGCGGGUAGCCGUAAAAACGCCAGGCAUGACGGGGCGCUAUGGUCCCCCUGAAAUGGACAAUCCGCAGCCAAGUCCUCUGGGCGUAGAGCCCGUGGAUGCAGUUCACAGACUAGACGGCGGUGGGGGCCUCCAGAAGGUCCUUAAGAUAUAGUCGGGCCAGUGCCGAGAGGCCGCUGGAAUUCAACGCAGAUACCGUCGUAGUCUUAACCAUAAACUAUGCCGACUAGGGAUCGGACGAUGUUAUUUUUUGACUCGUUCGGCACCUUACACGAAAGUACAAGUUUCUGGGUCUGGGGGAGUAGCGAGUUCAG